Molecule: ribosomal RNA, 253 nt
Filed under: uncultured bacterium
Lineage: Bacteria
Description: partial 16S ribosomal RNA
Rfam family: Bacterial small subunit ribosomal RNA
Source: RNAcentral
UACGGAGGGAGCGAGGGGUGUUCGGAAGUACUGGGCGUAAAGCGUGCGCAGGCGGCUUGGCAAGUCAGAAGUGAAAUCCCAGGGCUUAACCUUGGAAUUGCUUUUGAAACUGCUAGGCUAGAGUAUCGGAGAGGUUGGCGGAAUUCCCAGUGUAGAGGUGAAAUUCGUAGAUAUUGGGAGGAACACCAGUGGCGUAAGCGGCCAACUAGAUGAGUACUGACGCUCAGGCACGAAAGUGUGGGGAUCAAAUAGG